AUUGAACGCUGGCGGCAGGCCUAACACAUGCAAGUCGAACGAGUGGCGGACGGGUGAGUAAUGUCUGGGAAACUGCCUGAUGGCGGGGGAUAACUACUGGAAACGGUAGCUAAUCCCGCAUACCAUCAGAUGUGCCCAGAUGGGAUUAGCUUGUUGGUGGGGUAACGGCUCACCAAGGCAACGAUCCCUAGCUGGUCUGAGAGGAUGACCAGCCACACUGGAACUGAGACACGGUCCAGACUCCUACGGGAGGCAGCAGUGGGGAAGUUUGGACAAUGGGCGCAAGCCUGAGGCAGCCAUGCAGCGUGUAUGAAGAAGGCCUUCGGGUUGUAAAGUACUUUCAGCGGGGAGGCGUUACCUGCAGAAGAAGCACCGGCUAACUACGUGCCAGCAGCCGCGGUAAUUC
Molecule: ribosomal RNA, 406 nt
Filed under: uncultured bacterium
Lineage: Bacteria
Description: partial 16S ribosomal RNA
Rfam family: Bacterial small subunit ribosomal RNA
Source: RNAcentral